CUACGGGAUGCACCAGUGGGGAAUAUUGCACAAUGGGCGCAAGCCUGAUGCAGCCAUGCCGCGUGUAUGAAGAAGGCCUUCGGGUUGUAAAGUACUUUCAGCGGGGAGGAAGGGAGUAAAGUUAAUACCUUUGCUCAUUGACGUUACCCGCAGAAGAAGCACCGGCUAACUCCGUGCCAGCAGCCGCGGUAAUACGGAGGGUGCAAGCGUUAAUCGGAAUUACUGGGCGUAAAGCGCACGCAGGCGGUUUGUUAAGUCAGAUGUGAAAUCCCCGGGCUCAACCUGGGAACUGCAUCUGAUACUGGCAAGCUUGAGUCUCGUAGAGGGGGGUAGAAUUCCAGGAGUAGCGGUGAAAUGCGUAGAGAUCUGGAGGAAUACCGGUGGCGAAGGCGGCCCCCUGGACGAAGACUGACGCUCAGGUGCGAAAGCGUGGGGAGCAAACAGGAUUAGAUACCCCCGUAGUC
This 464-nucleotide ribosomal RNA is filed under the name uncultured bacterium. Its description in RNAcentral is "partial 16S ribosomal RNA". It matches the Rfam family "Bacterial small subunit ribosomal RNA", at positions 339 to 795 of the family's 1533-position model. The record is from RNAcentral.